RNAcentral lists this ribosomal RNA (1480 nucleotides) under uncultured Bordetella sp. Its description in RNAcentral is "partial 16S-23S ribosomal RNA intergenic spacer". It matches the Rfam family "Bacterial small subunit ribosomal RNA". Lineage: Bacteria; Pseudomonadati; Pseudomonadota; Betaproteobacteria; Burkholderiales; Alcaligenaceae. The record is from RNAcentral.
AGCGAUUCAGAGUUCGAUCCUGGUCAGAUUGAACGCUGGCGGCAUGCCUUACACAUGCAAGCGUCGAACGGCAGCGCGGACUUCGGUCUGAAGCGGCGAGUGGCGAACGCGAGUAAUACAUCGGAACGUACCCUGUUGUGGGGGAUAACUAGUCGAAAGAUUAGCUAAUACCGCAUACGACCGAGGGUGAAAGUGGGGACCGCAAGGCCUCACGCAGUGGUGGAGCGGCCGAUGUCUGAUUAGCUAGUUGGUGGGGUAACGGCUCACCAAGGCGACGAUCCGGGUAGCUGGUUUGAGAGGACGACCAGCCACACUGGGACUGGAGACACGGCCCAGAUCGCAUGGAGGCAGCAGUGGGGAAUUUUGGACAAUGGGGGAAACCCUGAUCCAGCCAUCCUCUGCGUGUGCGAUGGGCGGCCUUCGGGUUGUAAAGCACUUUUGGCAGGAAGAAACGGCACGGGAUAAUACCCCGUGCAACUGACGGUACCCGGCAGAACAAGCACUGCCAAUCUCGAUGUGCCAGCAGCUGCGGUAAUACGUAGGGUGCAAGCAGAAUGAAAUUAUCAUAAAGCGUGCGCAGGCGGUUCGGAAAGAAAGAUGUGAAAUCCCAGAGCUUAACUUUGGAACUGCAUUUUUAACUACCGAGCUAGAGGUGUCAGAGGGAGGUGGAAUUCCGGCGUAGCAGUGAAAUGCGUAGAUAUGCGGAGGAACACCGAUGGCGGCAGCCUCCUGGGAUAACACUGACGCGCUCAUGCACGAAAGCGUGGGGAGCAAACAUAUUUGAUACCUCAGAACACGCCCUAAACGAUGUCAACUAGCUGUUGGGGCCUUCGGCCUCGGUAGCGCAGCUAACGCGUGAAGCGAACUGGGGGAGUACGGUCGCAAGAUUAAAACUCAAAGGAAUUGACGGGGACCCGCACAAGCGGUGGAUGAUGUGGAUUAAUUCGAUGCAACGCGAAAAACCUUACCUACCUUUACAUGUCUGGAAUCCCGAAGAGAUUUGGGAGUGCUCGCAAGAGAACCGGAACACAGGUGCUGCAUGGCUGUCGUCAGCUCGUGUCGUGAGAUGUUGGGUUAAGUCCCGCAACGAGCGCAACCCUUGUCAUUAGUUGCUACGAAAGGGCACUCUAAUGAGACUGCCGGUGACAAACCGAGGAAGGUGGGGAUGACGUCGUCCUCAUGGCCCUUAUGGGUAGGGCUUCACACGUCAUACAAUGGUCGGGACAGAUGGUCGCCAACCCGCGAGGGGGAGCCAAUCCCAGAAACCCGGAUCGUAGUCCGGAUCGCAGUCUGCAACUCGACUGCGUGAAGUCGGAAUCGGUAAUCGUGAUCAGUACGUCGCGGUGAAUACGUUCCCGGUCUUGUACACACCGCCCGUCACACCAUGAGUGGGUUUUACCAGAAGUAGUUAGCCUGCACCGUAAGGAGUGGCGAUUACCACGGUAGGAUUCAUGACUGGGGUGAAGUCGUAACAAGGUAA